GAUGAACGCUAGCGGCAGGCCUAACACAUGCAAGUCGAGGGGUAGCAGGAUUAAGCUUGCUUAAUUGCUGACGACCGGCGCACGGGUGCGUAACGCGUAUGCAACCUACCUUAUACUGGGGUAUAGCCCGGAGAAAUUCGGAUUAAUCCCCCAUAGUACUAAUGAAUCGCAUGGUUUAUUAGUUAACGCAUUGCGGUAUAAGAUGGGCAUGCGUCCUAUUAGCUAGAUGGUGAGGUAACGGCUCACCAUGGCUACGAUAGGUAGGGGGCCUGAGAGGGUGGGCCCCCACACUGAUACUGAGACACGGACCAGACUCCUACGGGAGGCAGCAGUGAGGAAUAUUGGUCAAUGGGCGCAAGCCUGAACCAGCCAUGCCGCGUGCAGGAAGAAUGCCCUAUGGGUUGUAAACUGCUUUUAUUUGGGAAUAAACCUCUUUACGUGUAGAGAGCUGAAGGUACCAAAUGAAUAAGCACCGGCUAACUCCGUGCCAGCAGCCGCCGUAA
RNAcentral lists this ribosomal RNA (503 nucleotides) under uncultured bacterium. RNAcentral's name for it is "partial 16S ribosomal RNA". It matches the Rfam family "Bacterial small subunit ribosomal RNA", at positions 28 to 523 of the family's 1533-position model. The record is from RNAcentral.